AUGUUUUUGUUUACUUCAUUUUAUUGGGUUUGUUUUUGUUGGAAUGAAAUUGAUGGAAAGUUUGGAACUUUGAUUUUCAGAUGUUGUUAUUGCAGACUAGCUGAUUCCAUAGAUUACUCUUUUGUUGCCUUUCUUGUCUGUUAUCAACCAAAGUAA
Vicia faba (fava bean) is the source of this 156-nucleotide non-coding RNA. The record is from the annotation of a GenBank genome assembly. Lineage: Eukaryota; Viridiplantae; Streptophyta; Magnoliopsida; Fabales; Fabaceae.